Long non-coding RNA from Peromyscus eremicus (cactus mouse), 945 nucleotides. RefSeq lists it as uncharacterized. NCBI's taxonomy places the organism in Eukaryota, Metazoa, Chordata, Mammalia, Rodentia, Cricetidae. The transcript is spliced from 2 exons. The record is from RefSeq and is a predicted model, not a curated record.
CACCGCGGCCGCGCGCGCCUGGCGCUGGCUGCUCCCACUCUGCGCUAGGCUUUUUAGCGCACCCGCGCAGGAGAGCAGCGGAGGACACAGAAGCCGGGCUGGGGGCACCUGCCGCGACCUCCCCAUUCUGGCCGAGCACUCAGCACCUGCGGCCUGGGUGCUGUUUCUCCACGGUGAUCAGUUGCUGGUGGCCGCCGAAUUUGAUUGCCCCCUCUCCGGGACCCACGCGUGUGGGAGACCAGCGUGGGAUACUGUCCAGGGCCGGCCGGGAACAGCGCGCCCAGGCUGAGGGAGUGUCCUGGCUGAAGCUUGGAACCUCGCGAUAGGUGCAGGCGAGCCCGCAGUCAGGAGAGGGCCUGGGGCUCCACACCACAUCGGUUUGUCACUGCAGUGCCCUGCCUCAUCAAGGUGUCAUGGAGAGGAGCUCGCCUUCCCUCGGAAAGCAAGGCUCUGGUUAGACUUGCAUCUUGCGGGAUUGGCCCAAGUGAGCACUGUGGUAGGGUGAAGAACCCUUCCACUCUGUUUCAUUCCAGGAUCUAAGCUGACCAUGACCAUGACCUCACGCCGGAGGGUCCAGGUGGCUCAUGGCUUGUUACCACAUUUUCUAUACAUCCUGCUUCCUUGGUGGCUGGUUGGUGUCUCCCCUGACUCUACCCUUCUUCCUCCCAUCAUUCUCUUAGUUUGGUUGCCCCACCUAUAAUUCCUGGCUGGCUACCAGCCAAUUAGCUUUUAAUUAAACCAAUCCCAGUGACAGACCUUCACACAAUGUAAAGGAAUAUUCCAUAGCAAGCUGCUACAGACGCAAGCAGUUUAACAGAAGCUAAGAUAAGAAGUUAGCUGGAGGGGGUUCUGCACAAACUGGCAGUUUACCAGAAGCUGGGAUAAGUUAGCUGGCACAUCCUGACCUCAGGUUCCUCCAAUAAAGUUGAGUAAUGUUCCAUGGAA